AAUGGUUGGGCUUUCUUGAUCUAAGAAAAGGGUUAUUAAGAUACUUCACAAUGUCAAUGGAAUCAUAAAACCAUCCAGCUUUUGGUGACUGUUAAAGAGUUUGGGAUGUAUGGGAAAUGGGAAAUGGGAGAUGAGCUUGGGAACUCCACUCGGAUUAAUGAGCAGUGCUUGAAGCUUUAAAAGAAUAUCAAAGAUGAUGUUUCCAAAAUGAAGGUAGGUAUGAUGGUGGCUGCUUUCCUAAAUCUUGUAUUCAUCUUGUGAAGCAUGUUUUCAGGCUAAUUUGGCCUGCAUUUGCUUUCCUUUCAUCAUUAAUACCUUAAUGAUUUCAUGGAGGAAGAGUUAAGCUACACUCUAUACUGGCAACCCUUUCUGAAUUUGAACAUGCUGAGAAGGGUGAUGCUUUGUAUGGUAAGUAGCCUUUUUUACAUGCUUUGCAGAGUAUAUUUGUGCAUUGUUCAUGUUAAGAAUUGUAGAACACCUAAAAACCUAAU
Camellia sinensis is the source of this 491-nucleotide non-coding RNA. The record is from RefSeq and is a predicted model, not a curated record. Lineage: Eukaryota; Viridiplantae; Streptophyta; Magnoliopsida; Ericales; Theaceae.